CGGCCCGUAGCUCAAUGGCAGAGCACUCGGCUUAUAUCCGAACGGUUCCAGGUUCGAGCCCUGGCGGGCCGA
This 72-nucleotide transfer RNA is filed under the name bacterium. Its description in RNAcentral is "tRNA-Ile". It matches the Rfam family "tRNA". From Rfam's summary of the family: Transfer RNA (tRNA) molecules are approximately 80 nucleotides in length. The record is from RNAcentral.